Molecule: transfer RNA, 62 nt
Filed under: Helopeltis sp.
Lineage: Eukaryota; Metazoa; Arthropoda; Insecta; Hemiptera; Miridae
Description: tRNA-Ala
Rfam family: tRNA
About the family: Transfer RNA (tRNA) molecules are approximately 80 nucleotides in length. Their secondary structure includes four short double-helical elements and three loops (D, anti-codon, and T loops).
Source: RNAcentral
AGGGUAAUAGUUAAAUAUAACAUUUAAUUUGCAAUUAAAAAGUAUCUUAUUGAUUUACCUUA